AGGUUUCCUUGGCAUCCCCACAUUACACCAAGUUUUGGCAAGUCCAGCCCAACUGACAGACUUUCCGUCACGCUUCUCUACAGCUACUUAAACCACACUUUACCCUGUAAUGGAAUACCUCCCAUUUGGGGAAGAGGAAGGGGCUCCCCCAGGCGGGAUUCAACACGAUGACAGUUCCUAAAGUGCCGAAGGAAACCCCACCCCUGAGAUCAAACUAGAGGAGAAGGACAAGGUAAGAGGGAGCCUGGAGAGCAGAGGUCUCAAAGGAAGACCAGAGGACAGGCUGGUAACUACAGGCUCUGAGGACACCAAGAUGAGUAGUACCUGGUCCCCUCCCAGAGGAGUGUUGCACACUGGCAGAGAUGGGGAGUGGAGCAUGGAAGAAGUACUGGCCAUUCUGCCUCUGGAAACCUGAGGCAGACGACUGAUCUGAGGUCUGACCUUCUCCAAGCUCCUGGAAGGACCCUGGGACUCAUGUGGACCACACUUUUCUUCAUACUGCACUGUGCCCUUCUCAAGUCUUCCUCUGUGUGGCAGUUUUCUGCCCCAUUUGUCAGUCUUCAUUUGAGUAGUGUUCAGGGAGGCUGGUUGGAGACCGUAGGAAUAGGUGCAGAAUGGAGAGCACCCUCUUGUGGAUCUCCGUGGAGGCAGUGUGGGAAGACCCAGGAUUGCCUGCCUCUCCGGUCUUCUGGCGCUCACUUGGGUACUCUCCCGACCCCUCGUUUGCCUGGGGUGGUAAAGGCAGGGGAGAAGAGUCCUCCCAAAUCUUGCCACGCCCUAGUGGAGAGUACAGGCUCAAUUUUAGGGGUGUCCUGUGCCCUGGGCUUUAGGGUAUAAAACUGAGAGAAGAGAAGGAGUCAGAGAAAUGGGAAUUGGGAAAACAAAAACAAAAGGAAGGAAGAAUCAGAGACGGAAAAAAUAGGUCCACCAAAAUGGACUGAGAUCAUGCUUGGGGGGAAAUUACAAAGACUGUACUUUCUUCAUUCUCUGGGUUCACAGACCUCUGCUAGUCCCCAGACACCCCUCUUUUUGCAACGAAGACAGUGAUGCUCAAACCAGCACCCAGGUAAGUGGGGCCCAAAUCUAGCCAAGUUGGGCAGGGCUGGCCCUUAAGGAGAGACAUCCAAGCAGCCCCUCCCCAUUUGGGAAAGACUCUGAGGUGGACUUACGGCCUGGUUGUAGCCUUGUGUAUCUGGCCAGCCCCAGGAGAGCCAGUGCCUCUAGGCCCCAGUCUGGCCCCUGGUUCUAUUCCACACCCAGCCUGUCUGCUAACCAAUGACAAUGACCAUGCCAAAUAUGUCUUCUGAGACCAAAGUCCUUCUGAGGCUAUCCUGGAUCCUCACUUGGGAGAGGCAUCCAGGGCCGUGGGGAUGCUUGCCUUAUAUGGCCAUGGUCAUAGGGUGAAAGUGGGGAUACAGAUGAGAGGAUAAAGGUAUUAGUCCCAGUACUGGAGGCUUUUACAAGUAGUAGGCAGUCUCUGUGAUGCUCCCCAGUGAUCCCUGCUUCCUGUGUAAUCUCUCUCCCCUUGUAGAAUUACCGUCCCUUCAGUGUGGGCUGUACCUAGAGAUUUGCUUCUAAUUAAUAGAAUAUGGCAAAAGUGAGGGGAUGUCACUUCUGAGGUUAGGUUAUCAAAAGACUGUGGAUUCCAUCUUGCUUGCUCUCUCAGGCUCUCUUGCUUACUUGUUCUGAUGAAGUGAGCUGUCAUGUUGUGAGCUGCCCUAUGAAGAGACUCACAUGGCAAAGAGCUGAGAGAAGCUACCAGCCAACAGUCAGUGAGAAACUGAGGUCUUCAGUCCUCAGUCCCACAACCCAUAAGGAACUGAAUUCUGCCAACAACCGUGUAAAUGAACUUGGAAGUAGAUCCCUCCCCAUUCAAACCUUCCAAUGAGAUUGCAGCCCCAGAUGAUACCUUGAUUGCAACCAUGUGAGAGGAAAGCACACUAGAAGAUGGUUGGAUGAAUGUAUGAUGGCCUAAUUCAUAUUGUCUACCACACUUUCCAUGAAGGUGGCUUGGAUGGAACUCCAUUCUCUCUCCCAGAAAUUCCGCGGACUCAACCCAGCUAGCCCAUGCCCACAAUCCCUUUUCAUCUUAGCCCCAGCCUAAUUGUCUCAGGGAAGAAGGACCCUCCCUAUCCCACCCACUGUAAAAAUGUCUUAUUUGUUUGGGGCACCUGGGUGGCUCAGUCAGUUAAGCGUCCAACUUCGG
Lynx canadensis (Canada lynx) is the source of this 2206-nucleotide long non-coding RNA. RefSeq lists it as uncharacterized. NCBI's taxonomy places the organism in Eukaryota, Metazoa, Chordata, Mammalia, Carnivora, Felidae. The transcript is spliced from 3 exons. The record is from RefSeq and is a predicted model, not a curated record.